AACACAUGCAAGUCGAACGCGAAAGGGACUUCGGUCCUGAGUAGAGUGGCGCACGGGUGAGUAACGCGUAGAUAAUCUGUCCUUGUGUCUGGAAUAAUACGUCGAAAGGUGUACUAAUACCGGAUAUUCUUGCUUUUCAUAAGUAUGGCAAGCAAAGGUGGCCUCUGACAUAAGCUACUGCACGAGGAGGAGUCUGCGUACCAUUAGCUAGUAGGUGGGGUAAUGGCCCACCUAGGCGACGAUGGUUAACGGGUCUGAGAGGAUGAUCCGUCACACUGGCACUGGAACACGGGCCAGACUCCUACGGGAGGCAGCAGUGAGGAAUAUUGCGCAAUGGGGGAAACCCUGACGCAGCGACGCCGCGUGAGUGAGGAAGGCCUUCGGGUCGUAAAGCUCUGUCAAAGGGAAAGAAGUGCAUGGUGGUUAAUACCCAUCAUGUUUGACGGUACCCUUAAAGGAAGCACCGGCUAACUCCGUGCCAGCAGCCGCGGUAA
RNAcentral lists this ribosomal RNA (494 nucleotides) under uncultured Desulfobulbus sp. Its description in RNAcentral is "bacterial SSU rRNA". It matches the Rfam family "Bacterial small subunit ribosomal RNA", at positions 50 to 523 of the family's 1533-position model. Lineage: Bacteria; Pseudomonadati; Thermodesulfobacteriota; Desulfobulbia; Desulfobulbales; Desulfobulbaceae. The record is from RNAcentral.